AUAGAUGUAUGUACAAAGAGAUAUACAGACAGAGUGACAGAAUGAUGGAACGAUAGAUAGAUAGAUAGAUAGAUAGAUAGAUAGAUAGAUAGAUAGAUAGAUAGAUAGAUACUCUAUUCAAAUAAACAUAAGGAUAUACAGAGAUUUGAUCCCUGAUUUAUGAUCUGCACACACACACACACAAACUCCUACACACCCAAAGUCCAUUAAACGUUCAACACGAACAUAACCUUUCAGGUCAAAGUUGUUCCACAAGUGAUCUGAUCAGUAUCUGCAUGCAAAUCCAGACUCACAGUGUGCUGUUGUUAUGCAAUUUACAGUUCCAUCACAAUAAUGAUAUGCAUUACAAAAUAGCAUUUGUUAAGUAUUUCAAAAGGGGGUUGAAAGGGCCCAUAAAGUUCGGAAGGUCUUCCCACAGAAUUCUACAGCUCACAAUAGUCCUCUGCCAUUUCAGUUCAGCUGCUGAACAGAACUAAAGAGUUCUGUCCUGUAAUUGCUGUCAUUUAUGCAAUGCAUAAUUCAUGUGUUUGCAUUGCACAUAUGCAUACAUAACAUGCAAUGAGGGUGUUUUCACCAUCCGAGCUUUCAACAGGGGAUUUCGACUUCCUCUCCUCUACAUUAAAGCAGCCUGGUUUAUAUUCCACAUUCCAAGUGUUGCACAAGAUUACAGUAUUACUGACCUUGGCUGACUGCAUUCAUUUUCCCAGAAGAGUCUUGAAGACGAGGAGGAAUGAAUCUCUGUGGUUCUGGAGAGUGGAAAUACUCUGGUGUGAUGCUCUGUGCUGUUUCUCAGGGCUUCUCACCCGCCCAAUGAGAGGGUCCCUCUUCCCCCUCCUCGCCUUCUCAUUGUACAAAGACAUACAGGUGGAGAAAGCAUAGCGAAAGGAUUUGAGCCCGCCGUGCACCUGCCCCCUGAAGCCAGCCAAACACAGACAGACACUUCAGUCCUUCUCUACAGGAGUCCUGCUCUGUGGCCACAAAAUCUCUAAGAUCCGUUUCUCUUUUCUUUGCUAUCGAAUCUUGUCUUUUGUUGUGCUAUCAAACUUGCUCCCGUUUCCCAGAGGAAAAGUUUACUGCUCUUUCACCACUCAGGAGACUGAAAAGAAUUCUCAUGUCUUUCUGGAACUCAGCUGGAACUCAGUUUCUCCUAAAAGAUCCUCAAGGCAAAUAAAAAGAUACAGAUGAGAUAAUUAAUGACA
This is a long non-coding RNA of Cyprinus carpio (common carp), 1199 nucleotides long. NCBI's taxonomy places the organism in Eukaryota, Metazoa, Chordata, Actinopteri, Cypriniformes, Cyprinidae. The record is from Ensembl.